Molecule: ribosomal RNA, 426 nt
Filed under: uncultured bacterium
Lineage: Bacteria
Description: partial 16S ribosomal RNA
Rfam family: Bacterial small subunit ribosomal RNA
Source: RNAcentral
GUGGGGAAUCUUGCGCAAUGGGCGAAAGCCUGACGCAGCCAUGCCGCGUGAAUGAUGAAGGUCUUAGGAUUGUAAAAUUCUUUCACCGGGGACGAUAAUGACGGUACCCGGAGAAGAAGCUCCGGCUAACUUCGUGCCAGCAGCCGCGGUAAGACGGAGGGGGCAAGCGUUGUUCGGAAUUAUUGGGCGUAAAGGGCUCGUAGGCGGAUCUGUAAGUCUGGCGUGAAAUCUCCACCGCUUAACGGGGAGCUGCCGCUGGAUACUGCAGAUCUGGAGUUCGGUAGAGGAUCGUGGAAUUUCGAGUGUAGCGGUGGAAUGCGUAGAUAUCCGAAAGAACACCAGUGGCGAAGGCGACGAUCUGGGCCUGAACUGACGCUGAGGAGCGAAAGCUAGGGGAGCAAACGGGAUUAGAAACCCUGGUAGUCC